CUUCUUUUGCUUGGCUGUCUGGUCCUCUCUUUUCCACCCCAGGCAAAUCCUCCUGUAAGUCCCGGCCCUAGGACACCUCCAGCUGGAAGCCCUCUCACAUGUGCCAUGGUUGAGCUUCAUUGGAAAAAAGACAAAGCAAUUUCUUCAGGCUGAACGGAAGCUAUACCAGAGGGAAACUUGAACUGCCUGGAAGGAUUAAAGAACAUUAGCAAUGGAGGUCUUAGUAAAGAACAUGGACCUAACAAGCCAUCAACAGCUGAAAGAACUUGGGAAAGGUCAAAAGGAGACACCACAUGUCCUACCACCUCCCAGAAUCCUUCUCGCUGGCAUCCAUCUUGGCUGAGCAGUGUGUGAGCCACCAGGAAGAACCCUGAGUCAGAAUAACUGGCCAAAGACAACCCGGAAGGUAAUCCCAUCACCACGAAACCCAAGACUGUGAGCCACGUGGCAGAGCAGCUCUCCUGGGUUCCCUUACCCUCUAGCUCUCUGCCCAGGUGUCCCUUCCCAAUAAAGUCUUGUGCUUUA
Long non-coding RNA from Bubalus bubalis (water buffalo), 525 nucleotides. RefSeq lists it as uncharacterized. NCBI's taxonomy places the organism in Eukaryota, Metazoa, Chordata, Mammalia, Artiodactyla, Bovidae. The record is from RefSeq and is a predicted model, not a curated record. The transcript is spliced from 3 exons.